RNAcentral lists this ribosomal RNA (460 nucleotides) under uncultured bacterium. RNAcentral's name for it is "partial 16S ribosomal RNA". It matches the Rfam family "Bacterial small subunit ribosomal RNA", at positions 338 to 795 of the family's 1533-position model. The record is from RNAcentral.
CCUACGGGCGGCAGCAGUGAGGAAUAUUGGUCAAUGGACGCAAGUCUGAACCAGCCAUGUCGCGUGCAGGAAGACGGCUCUCUGAGUUGUAAACCUCUUUUGUACGAGGGUAAACGCACAUACGUGUAUCUGUCUGAUAGUAUCGUACGAAUAAGGAUCGGCUAACUCCGUGCCAGCAGCCGCGGUAAUACGGAGGAUUCAAGCGUUAUCCGGAUUUCGUGGGUUUAAAGGGUUCGUAGGCGGUCGGAUAAGUUAGAGGUGAAAUCCCGAGGCUCAACUUCGGACUUGCCUCUGAUACUGGUCGGCUAGAGAGUAGUGGAGGUAGGCGGAAUGUAUGGUGUAGCGGUGAAAUGCUUAGAGAUCAUACAGAACACCGAUUGCGAAGGCAGCCUACUAAACUGCCACUGACAUUGAUGCUCGAAAGUGUGGGUAUCAAACAGGAUUAGAUACCCCAGUAGUC